CAGGGCAUAGCUAAAAUAGUAAAGCAGUUCCCUUACACUGAAAAAACACCUGUGCAAAUCAGGUUGCCCUGA
Molecule: transfer RNA, 72 nt
Filed under: Chauliodus sloani (Sloane's viperfish)
Lineage: Eukaryota; Metazoa; Chordata; Actinopteri; Stomiiformes; Stomiidae
Description: tRNA-Val
Rfam family: tRNA
About the family: Transfer RNA (tRNA) molecules are approximately 80 nucleotides in length. Their secondary structure includes four short double-helical elements and three loops (D, anti-codon, and T loops). Further hydrogen bonds mediate the characteristic L-shaped molecular structure. tRNAs have two regions of fundamental functional importance: the anti-codon, which is responsible for specific mRNA codon recognition, and the 3' end, to which the tRNAs corresponding amino acid is attached (by aminoacyl-tRNA synthetases). tRNAs cope with the degeneracy of the genetic code in two manners: having more than one tRNA (with a specific anti-codon) for a particular amino acid; and 'wobble' base-pairing, i.e. permitting non-standard base-pairing at the 3rd anti-codon position.
Source: RNAcentral